RNAcentral lists this ribosomal RNA (424 nucleotides) under Verrucomicrobiota bacterium. RNAcentral's name for it is "Verrucomicrobia bacterium partial 16S ribosomal RNA". It matches the Rfam family "Bacterial small subunit ribosomal RNA", at positions 355 to 776 of the family's 1533-position model. The record is from RNAcentral. Lineage: Bacteria; Pseudomonadati; Verrucomicrobiota.
UGAGGAAUAUUGGUCAAUGGACGAGAGUCUGAACCAGCCAAGUAGCGUGCAGGAUGACGGCCCUAUGGGUUGUAAACUGCUUUUGUUUGGGAAUAAUCGACAUUACGUGUAAUGUUUUGCAUGUACCAUUCGAAUAAGGACCGGCUAAUUCCGUGCCAGCCGCCGCGGUAAUACGGAAGGUCCAGGCGUUAUCCGGAUUUAUUGGGUUUAAAGGGAGUGUAGGCGGUUGGUUAAGCGUGUUGUGAAAUGUAGAUGCUCAACAUCUGACUUGCAGCGCGAACUGGCUGACUUGAGUACACACAACGUAGGCGGGAUUCAUGGUGUAGCGGUGAAAUGCUUAGAUAUCAUGAAGAACUCCGAUUGCGAAGGCAGCUUACGGGAGUGUUACUGACGCUUAAGCUUGAAGGUGCGGGUAUCGAACAGG